Ostrinia nubilalis (European corn borer) is the source of this 180-nucleotide long non-coding RNA. RefSeq lists it as uncharacterized. The record is from RefSeq and is a predicted model, not a curated record. The transcript has 2 exons. Lineage: Eukaryota; Metazoa; Arthropoda; Insecta; Lepidoptera; Crambidae.
AAUGCUCUUCGGCGCUGGUCACGGUAAUCCUGAGCCGAAGGUGCCAGUCAGGCAAAUUGGCAAAGCUGUGAAAACUGGAUUUGGAAUAGCUAGCGCCGCAGGCACUGCCCGUGACGUUUACGACAGCAUCAGAAACCGAGGAUAAAUGAAUAUUUUCAAAUAAAAAAUACCUUUUACAUA